Molecule: ribosomal RNA, 180 nt
Filed under: uncultured eukaryote
Lineage: Eukaryota
Description: partial 18S ribosomal RNA
Source: RNAcentral
CUUUUUGAAAAUCUUGAAGAAUACUCCGCGGCUGCGCCACGCUCCGCAUUCGUCUCCAAAUUUAGUUGAGUUUAUAGUUUGCUUUGCUUUAACUUUGACAGUUGAUUUGUGACAUCUGUAGCGUGAUCAGGUAGCAAUUAAGCUAUGAAAUAUAUUGCAAAAUAGUGAAAAGAUUUAUGG